UACGAGGGGCCCAAACGUUAUUCGGAAUUACUGGGCUUAAAGAGUUCGUAGGCGGCGCAGAAAGUAGGGUGUGAAAGCCCUCGGCUCAACCGAGGAAUUGCGCUCUAAACUACUGUGCUUGAGGGACCUAGAGGUGAGCGGAACUGAUGGUGGAGCGGUGAAAUGCGUUGAUAUCAUCAGGAACACCGGAGGCGAAGGCGGCUCACUGGGGGUCUUCUGACGCUGAGGAACGAAAGCCAGGGGAGCGAACGGG
This 253-nucleotide ribosomal RNA is filed under the name uncultured bacterium. Its description in RNAcentral is "partial 16S ribosomal RNA". It matches the Rfam family "Bacterial small subunit ribosomal RNA", at positions 524 to 776 of the family's 1533-position model. The record is from RNAcentral.